GUACACAGGCUGGAGAGAUGGCUCAGAGGUUAAGAGCACUGACUGCUCUUCCAGAGGUCCUGAGUUCAAUUCCCAGCAACCACAUGGUGGCUCACAACCAUCUGUGAUGAGAUCUGGUGCCCUCUUCUAGGGUGCAGGCAGAAUACUGUAUACAUAAUAAAUAAACAAAUCU
Non-coding RNA from Peromyscus maniculatus bairdii (prairie deer mouse), 172 nucleotides. Lineage: Eukaryota; Metazoa; Chordata; Mammalia; Rodentia; Cricetidae. The record is from RefSeq and is a predicted model, not a curated record.